Molecule: transfer RNA, 63 nt
Filed under: Limosilactobacillus mucosae
Lineage: Bacteria; Bacillati; Bacillota; Bacilli; Lactobacillales; Lactobacillaceae
Description: Lactobacillus mucosae tRNA-OTHER
Rfam family: tRNA
About the family: Transfer RNA (tRNA) molecules are approximately 80 nucleotides in length. Their secondary structure includes four short double-helical elements and three loops (D, anti-codon, and T loops). Further hydrogen bonds mediate the characteristic L-shaped molecular structure. tRNAs have two regions of fundamental functional importance: the anti-codon, which is responsible for specific mRNA codon recognition, and the 3' end, to which the tRNAs corresponding amino acid is attached (by aminoacyl-tRNA synthetases). tRNAs cope with the degeneracy of the genetic code in two manners: having more than one tRNA (with a specific anti-codon) for a particular amino acid; and 'wobble' base-pairing, i.e. permitting non-standard base-pairing at the 3rd anti-codon position.
Source: RNAcentral
GUAUCCUUAGCUCAAUGGGCGAGCCGCCUGCGGAAGAUGCGGGUUCGAUUCCUGCGGGAUACG